Molecule: long non-coding RNA, 6145 nt
Filed under: Taeniopygia guttata (zebra finch)
Lineage: Eukaryota; Metazoa; Chordata; Aves; Passeriformes; Estrildidae
Description: lncRNA (ENSTGUG00000023739.1)
Source: RNAcentral
AUAUAUAAAGGGGCAAGAAGAACUGGUGACAGCUUUGUGUGACCCCUGUCCAAUGUCCCAGUAGGCAAGACAGACAGAAAUGAGCUGGGCUGAUAUGCAGCUAUAAUAGAGAUCAAUCAAAAGUACAAAGGAGUUGUCUAAUUUUCUGUGAAACAAGGUCAAAAUGUUUGGUUAUUGUGAUUUAGGAAAUAUAGCUCUCUAAAAGAUGGGGGAAAUAUUUUCAGAUGUGUGCAUUUGAAGUAUUAUACAAUAGACUACAAUUAGUAAUAUAUACGUUAUAAUAAGUAAAAUGAAAACAUACACUUCCGUGCUGACUAGUCUGAGAUAGUUGGCUUAGAUGUUAUAAAACAACAGCUGUAAAAACUGACCAACUUUUAUGCGUUAAAAUAAUGUUUUCAGGACAUGCUUAAAGGAUUUACAGACAGCACAUACAUGCCUGUAAAUUUCUGGACUGGAAUUAAGAAGCUGAACUAUGGAAUAAAAAUUGUACACCUGUCCUAUUUUAUAUUUGGAUGUAUUACAUUACAGGAUACAAAGUAAGAGAUUGCUGAACAGCAGUUUCAAAAAAAUACCAUGAUCUGAAUGAAUAAAUACCUCUCAGAAGCUACAGCAUAAAUUUUUCAGUUUGUUGUACAUCUGCUGCUGCUAAAAUAACCUGCUGUGUGGGGUGGGUGAAGAACCGGACUAGUCCAACUAGCUGCAGUGCUGCCCAGGGUCAUAUUGCUGCUUACAUUCCCACACCUCCAGCCAUGCCAACUGUGUAAUAUCAACAGAAAGAGAAAACAGAGUCAUCUCCUUUAACAAAGAGCACUGUUAGCUCUGGCAACACUGUAAAUCAUGUCUUGAAUGGCCACCUAAAUAAGAAAAAUAAAGAACUGAGGACAAAAUGGUUGUAUACACAUAACAGUCCUCACGUGACAAGUAAGGAAACAUUGAAAAAGUUUGUGAGGACUUGAUUCCAGUAAAAAAUCAUGUAAGUCAAGAUUUAUUUAUCCCACUUCCACAUCAAAAAUAACCCAGCAACAAAAAAAAAAAAAAAUCCCUAGAAAUUCCCAGCACCGCUAGGCCUUGUACCUACAACUGAUAAGACAUAAAAUGCAUAAUCUUCAUAAAGAGGAUUAACUGCAAAAGUUUGAGUCAUAUAGAAGAACAGUAUUAGCCAAUCAUCUUCAAAGACUAAGGAAGAAAGAGUUGAUUAUUACAUAUUAUUUAUCUUUAAAGGAAUUGUCUUUCUUUUUUUUAUUUGGUGUCUCUUUAAGUCCUAUAACUUAAUUUUAUGCAUACCCAGACACUUCAGUUCUUCAGUGCUGUACAUCUAUCCUAAAAUCUUCUAAUCGAAAAUCAUCUAUUAAAUCCAUCCCUGAUAUCUACUGCAUAUGGCAGAGUUGUGGUAAGAUUUAAGUGAACGCAGUCUAAUUUUUAUUUGUUUCUGAGGUAGCAAUUAAGGUGAACAUUGCUUCCAAAAACCUCUGAACAUCAAAACUAGCAAAACUAAGAGAACUAUAAGCAUUCAUUGAAAAUGUGACUCCUUCUUGUCUAGGGACCUUAAAGGAUACUGUAGUUAGAUGCAAACUGAAGACAGCCCAAUCAGGGGGAAAAGUUGUGAUUUUCUACCUAACCUUUCCACUUAAACUGUUUGGGAUUAAUUUCUUACAGGCAGUUCUGUUAAACAAAACUUGGUAAAUAUCUUCCCACUGAAAUGGUGAUUAUUACAACAAAACAAAUUGUAAGUCAGGGGCCUUUGACAAAUAGCAAAAACUUCUAUCAAGUUCCUAAAGAGACUGGAGUCAUUAACAUUACAGUCAUCACCCUUGGCAAGAGAGCAACUAGGAACAAAGAAGAAUUAUUACUAAAAGAACAAUAAAGUGGUUUAGAUACAUCAAGAUCAAUUAGGCAUUAGUUUUAAUAUAGCCUAAAGUUAAAAGCUGUAAAACAACAGAGAAUUUUCCCAUUUGCAUCAUUUAAAGUUCACAGCCCAAGGAAAAUACCAUGUAUAAAGAAACCAGAGAGCCUUCUGUGAAUUGUGUGUCAAUUAUCUAAUUACUUUUGAUAACAUCAGGUGCAAACCUUCAAGGAAAAAGCUUUAAAGAGCUCUUGCAGGUACCAGUGUAUUAGGAGAGUAAUAAGACUUCUUGUAGGGAGAAGAGAAAGGAGGAGAAACUGCAUCUUGCUUUGAAAUUAAUGUCCUGUCCCUGGUUGCAAGAAUGUGAGAGACAAGAGUUGCACAACAGUUACUGGAGCAUGUUAUCAACUCUAAAUACAGCUUCUCAGCUUGGGAAGAGAGACAGGGAGACUGGUUUCUACUUUGACUCUUACUUCCAGGCUGAGAUGCUGUCAUGUAUUCCUGCUAGUCGAGAAGGAAAGAAUCCAAGUCUGGCUCCUCCCUCCUGCCUCCCUCCUUUGUCUGCAAUGUCUGUGGAUGGGGAAGAGUGAGAUCCUGCUUUGGGAUCCUGCUGCCUGGGCAGGUCCUUGCAGAGGUAGCAGAGCUUCUCUGACAGAAGAAGUCAGCAACAAGAUCUCAGCCUACAGACAUAGCUCCACCUUAGGGCUUGCAUAGGGCAGCUGCCCUUGAACUCCAUCACAAAAGGCCUGUGCACCACCAGCUUGGUCAAUAGCUCCAAACAUUAGCUGCUCAGUGGUGGUGUUUGUAUCCGUGCUUCUCUGCCUGGUAAUUCCCUGCACCAGCUGGAGGACUGUUGCCUGCCUGUAACUGAGAUAAUCUUCAGCUAGCUUAUACCUAAAGACUGGACAACAUGCUGUCCCAGCCAGGUGGGAAGAUGUGUCUGCACUCCUGGUCAGCACCAGUAUCUCUGAUUUUUGAAAGAAAAUUGUAGUGACUUCUUCAGCUGGAAGCCUUGUGACCAGCUGAGCCUUCUCCAUGUUCAUGACAAGCAACCUGCAUUUAUGGCUCUUUAAGAAGGUUUGACCCCUGACCCCUCAAGGACUGGGACACACAACUGACAUGAGACCACACCAAGCAAAAAUGAGAUUCAGGAAAUGAUGCAAGUUUAAUUUCUGUUUGAAAUGUUCAGAAAUAUGGCACCUUGGAAAAGGAGAUUUUCCAGACCUGAGACUGGUCUCAGUAUAUGACUACUCAUAUUUUGUCUGGCUCAAAAUACAGGUAAGUUUUUCUGAAAAGUAAUUUUAAACAUAUAUAUAUUACUUUUUAAAUGGCAAAACCAUGCUCAGAAUCAUUCCAUUUCUUCCCAUACUUAAAUGAAACGCCCACAUAACAGACCAUCCCAUCCACUAUUUUAAUGAGAUCUAAAUCUGUCAAGGAUUGUCAACACUCAUCAGUGUGGAUAUUUUUAGGACUUGUAGGUGCAAAAGAACUUAAUUUUUUCUAGACAAAAGCAGUAUUAAUAAUACAACAUAGUUCAUAAACAUUGACUGGUACUCAUUAUCAGAAAGGGCAGCUGGAAAAAAAAAUCAUUUUACAUUCCAAUCUUCAGGACAUUGGUAGACUCCAGAGCAGUACAAUAAAUAAUGAGCUUGCUUACUGCUGUUGUGUGGGAAAAGAGAAGAGGAGCUGGAGGUGAUACUGCAGGAAUAAAACAGACUAAGUAGGCAUGACAGGAGUAUGGGGGCUAAAUGUAAUGACAGGAACUUCAUAACACAUUCUUCAUAAAAGUGACAGGAAAAGCAAAGGAGGUGAACAGCACUCUGCCAAAAGCAUCUAUUCAAAUGCUGAAAUAACGAAGGAUAAUUUUUGGUAGGACAUGCAUGGCUAAACUGCUGGCUUUAAAAAUGAAGGAUAAUUGAGAAUUCCAGGAAGAAUGGUACUAAAGACUGGAGAUCAUGAGCACAAAACAGUGAAGAUUAAGCAAUCAUAGUCUAAGUUGCAAAAGCAUAUAUUAAGUACUCCCUAGAGGCACUUGUUUGAUUAAAGUACUUUUAAAACUAUCUCAGAAAUUUGGAAGAAUUUAAAAUCCUUUACUUCAGUACAUUUUUGUCAGCUCUGAGAUUAAAUAUACACACACUGUAAAUAUUUAGGGCAUAACUUUAUAUUCAUCAUAAUGUACACCAAACUGUAGCCUUUGGAUUAUUCCUAGCAGUGACCACCUCAUUAAUCCAGAAUCUCUCUUCAAAUCCUUCAGUGCUGCAGGUGGUGUCAGAAGGGAGCAUGAGCUUAAAAUAGAGUAAGGGAGAUCUGGUCAGGCAUCUUCAGCCACACAUUGAGUUCCUACCUUCUCAGAUGAAAACUAGGGAAGGUGUGUCUUGGAUUCCACCAGGACACACCAGGACUCCGAUAUGCAGUACUAAUAAAUCUGCUGUAGGGCUAAGACACUGCGCAAGCUCUCUGUAAGUGUCAAUGGCCAGCUCACCUUAGAUCCAAAGGAACAGUGUAGAAAACAGCAAAGGCUUUGCUCAGAGAUGACCAUCUAAAUGCAAGGUCAGGAUGGGAAAAGAGAUUACAUGGAGCUGGAAGGUUUCACUAGAGCAAAGGCGUUGCUUGUGUUUAGAGUAUUCUGUUUAGGAAGGGAAGUUACUUUCUGCCAGCUGGCAUUUUCCAACACUUUCUUUAAUCAAAGCAUGACCAGGUUUGCUGUUACAUGAAGCCUAGAGUAUAUCAUGCAGGGAAAUACUGCACUUGAUGAAGUGCUGGUAGUUAUAUCUGGAAACAUCUAAAGAAAGUGUAACUGUUUGAGGUCUAGAAUCCAUUUGUCACGGUUUAACCCCAGCUGGCAGCUAAGCACCACUACACCUCACACACUCACCCCCAGCAGGAUGUGGGCGAGAACUGGAAGGGCAAAAGUAGGAAAAGUUUUGGGUUGAAAAAAAGAUAUUUAAAUAAGUAAAGGAAAAGUCAUGCACACAAGCAAAGCAAAAGAAGAAACUCAUUCACUCCUUCCCAUAGGCAGGUGCGGGUUCAGCCAUCCCCAAGAAAUCUGGGCUUUAUCACACCUAAUGAUGACUUGGGAAGACAAACAACAUCACUGCAAAUGUCCCCCUCCCUUCCUUCUUCUUCCCUCACUUUAUAUACUGAGCAUGGUGCCCUAUGGUCUGAAAUAUCCCUUUGGUCAGUGGGGGACAGCUGUCCCAGCUGUGUCCUCUCCCAAUUCCUCAUGUACCCCCAGCCUCCUGUCUGGCAGGACGGGGUGAGGAACACAAAAGGCCUUGAUUCUGGGCAAGCCCUGUGCAGCAACAACCAAAACAUCCUGGUGUUAUCCUUUCCAGCACAAAACCAAAAAGUCCCAUACCAACUACUCUGAAGAUAAACUCCACCCCAGCCAAAACCAGCACACCAUUGCUAAUUUCAAAGAUUUAAUUUCAAACCUAUUUACAUGACAAAAAAAAAAUAGUUGUGUUUGUGCUCUCUGCACUAAGUAGAAGGAAAAUUUGGUCUCUGAAGUGCAGAUUUUACAAAGAUUGUCUAUGUGUUGAUAGAAGACAACUCUCAAAUGAGCAAAAUGUGAGGUUUUAUGUAGAGUGAAGCCUUCAUAGCAGCUUGUUGUACUAUGGAACUUCGUAACACAUGAUUUUCACCUUGAGAGGUACAAAAGUCUGUAGGAAUUUCCUUGCAGACAUUGUGUUCUGAACAAGCAGAGUAGUUUUUUGUGGCCAGAUAUUCAGGACAAGAGUUAAGGGGUAGAUCCACAUCCAGAUACUUCUCCUGUGUGAGCAACUGCAUGAGGUUUUGACACUGGUUAGUGACCCUGCUCCCAACACCAUCCCCCAAAUCCCCAGCAAUAAGGCAACUGCAUGGCUUAGGGGAUUGGUAAUCGGAUACCUCACCUCCAGGUCAUCCUAGGUCUCUGGUUCAAGAGCAGCAAGGCUUUGUAAUGACUUAAAUGCCAUUGCAUAUUUAUUUGGAGUCAUACAUGGAGAAGUGAACAUAUGAUUUCUAUGUGAAAAGCAGUAGGUGUCCACAUACAGAUACAAACAUUUUGACAGUUGCCAGCCUGUUUGAAACAUUUGAAUUACUAAAUAUCAGUCUAACAGAGAUUUGAAUAAUUCCCUAAUAACAGAUUUGUGUUUGGCUUUAAUACUGUCUUUAUAGUAAAAGCAUCAUGGUUUAUCUUUAUUUAUAUAUUAUGUACUUAUUUUACUUUUAUAUAUACUUAUGUUUUUAUAUAUACAUUUAUAUUUACUUACAUUUUGUCACUAAGUGGGACUAAAGCUUAUGUUUAACCCUCCAUCUUUU